UGACAUGGGAUGCAUGCCACAGUAUGGAAUCCCUUUAAAACUCCUCAUAAAGCAUCCCUAAAAGCUUCAAUUAGAUGAUGAGUCCAUUGGUGCCAUAACUGUCCUUAUUGGAACGUCAUUGUUUUUAAGACUAAAGUAAGUCACUGCCUUAUGCCACUCAAGUUCGAAGCUCUUGUAGUCAAUUCCAAGUCCGGCCAAAGGUUCUGCAUGUAUGACUUACAUUCCAGAAUUCAGAGAGCGCCUCAGCAAGAAGAACAUGAGAACACUACACACCAGAAGACACAAGAACUCAGCAAUUUCAAUGAAUCUGGUCCAGUGCUGGGAUGGUAACUUAUGCUCCUUAUCCGGUGUCAUUCAUCUCCACGGCAACGCUUGGGAGAGGAGGAUGGCGCCAGCCGGUUUUCUGCGUACAAAGAUCAAGGACAACCACCAGCUCCACAACACAUCCUUGUCUGAUUAGCAAAUAGGCAACACUUUAUCUGUUGAUUAAAUGUAUCAGGUCAUAUUUAAGCAAAUAAUGAAAGUGCAAUAAAAGUAAAAUAGUUUUCACCAGCCAGCAUGAAAUUUCAAAUAACCCAUGCACUAGAUGUAGAAACAUGCAGUUGUGAUGUCAAUUAACACAACCCUUGUCAGAAUAGGUUUUUCAAUAUUAUAUAAUUCAGUUUGUUCUUCAACUCUGAAAUGACCCUUUUAUUUUUUCACAUUACAUAGCGAUCCACUUUUAGACUCGUAUGGCCAGUAGGAGUGUCACAAAGUAAGAUGUAUGAGGCGUACAGCUCAUACAACUUUGUCAUUUGUCAAUAAACUUGGGCCGCAUAUCUGUGGUUAAGAUUUGUACACACUUUGACAGUUAGGAAUGUGCAAUCGUGCUGACAAAAUGGAAAGGUUUUCUUAAUAGGGAUAGUUUGACCUGGGAACAGAAUAUUUAUUGUCAAAUUUAUUGAAAUGUUUAAAAGGUCAACAGGCAUUUUCUUACAGGUCAUCUUCACAUCUUAAAGCCCCGAGCCACAAUACUUCAGAAUCAUCUUUAUUGGCCACUUAUGAUAAACGUAUGAUAAAAGGAAUUUGUCACGUCUGAAUCAUUUGGAGCCUCGCUGUUUAAUCAUGGGCCCAUUGUUUUCCCGCAAAAAAUGGGUAGAACCCCACCGUGGCCUUUGGCCCCAGCAGCACGUCUGAAGCCCAAACAACUCAAGUGUGUUGCAGCCAGUGUGGUUUUAAUUACAAGCUCAAAGGACAGUUCAAGUUUAUGUGGACGCGUGGGUUAAGAGGUACAGAAUUGUGGGGG
This is a long non-coding RNA of Syngnathoides biaculeatus (alligator pipefish), 1285 nucleotides long. RefSeq lists it as uncharacterized. The record is from RefSeq and is a predicted model, not a curated record. NCBI's taxonomy places the organism in Eukaryota, Metazoa, Chordata, Actinopteri, Syngnathiformes, Syngnathidae. The transcript has 3 exons.